GGGGACCAGGCCUGUAAGAGCUCCAGGGGAAGGCGUGGGGCUCCUUCUCAGAAGGAAGAGGAGAAUGUCAGAUGGAGAAAAGACCAAGAGACGAACAUUUGCUGAUAUCACCCUGGGACGUGGGAAAGGGCACAGGUUGUCCUUUAAGCUGGCUCUCUGUGGAACUGGCCACCCAUAAAUCAGUGCCAGCAGAGAGGGGACAUCACAGGAGGGCAGAAGACAGCCACCCCCGGCCUGUCUUCCCAGAACCAGUUCUGGGGCGGAUGUGACUUCCCACCAGUGAGAA
This 286-nucleotide long non-coding RNA is filed under the name Rattus norvegicus (Norway rat). RNAcentral's name for it is "long non-coding RNA NONRATT024938". Lineage: Eukaryota; Metazoa; Chordata; Mammalia; Rodentia; Muridae. The record is from RNAcentral.